ACAAAGGUAACUUUACUUGUGCAGACAGAAGAGCAGUUAUCCCAAACGGUACAUCGAAAACAGAACUUAGCUUCCGCUUCGUCGUGCUUCUGUCCGUCCACAACCAUGGCUGACGUCAACCGCUCCAACAAACCUGAGUGGCUUCAACAGUACGAUCUCAUCGGUAAGAUCGGUGAAGGAACCUACGGUCUCGUUUUCCUUGCUCGGAUCAAAUCCGCCACAAACCGCGGCAAAUCCAUCGCCAUCAAGAAAUUCAAACAAUCUAAAGACGGCGAUGGCGUUUCCCCCACCGCCAUCCGUGAAAUCAUGUUGCUGAGAGAGAUAACUCAUGAAAAUGUUGUGAAGCUUGUGAAUGUUCACAUCAAUCAUGCGGACAUGUCUCUGUAUUUGGCCUUUGAUUAUGCUGAACAUGACCUUUAUGAAAUAAUAAGACAUCAUAGAGACAAGGUCAACCAAUCAAUUAAUCAGUACACUGUUAAGUCGAUACUGUGGCAGUUGCUCAAUGGGCUGAACUAUCUGCACAGCAAUUGGAUAAUACAUCGAGAUUUGAAGCCAUCGAAUAUAUUGGUUAUGGGCGAUGGGGAGGAACACGGGGUUGUUAAAGUUGCUGACUUUGGGCUUGCAAGGAUAUAUCAAGCCCCUCUGAAGCCAUUAUCUGAAAAUGGGGUUGUUGUAACCAUUUGGUAUCGUGCUCCUGAGUUGCUUCUUGGAGCAAAACAUUAUACCAGUGCUGUUGAUAUGUGGGCUGUGGGAUGCAUUUUUGCUGAGUUGUUGACCUUGAAGCCACUAUUUCAAGGUGCAGAAGUCAAAGCUACACCAAAUCCUUUUCAGCUUGAUCAGCUUGACAAGAUAUUCAAGGUUUUAGGCCAUCCCACAUUAGAAAAGUGGCCUUCCUUAGCACAUCUUCACCAUUGGCAACAUGAUACGCAACAAAUACAAGGACACAAAUAUGACAAUGCCAAUCUCUAUAGUGUUGUACACCUAUCUCCAAAAAGUCCUGCAUAUGACCUAUUGUCAAAGAUGCUUGAAUAUGAUCCUCGAAGGCGUAUAACAGCAGCACAGGCUAUGGAGCAUGAGUAUUUCAAAAUGGAACCACAGCCUGGGCGGAAUGCACUUGUACCAUGCCAACCUGGAGAGGCUUUUGUGAAUUAUCCCACACGUCCAGUGGACACAACUACAGAUUUUGAAGGGACAACCAACAUGCAGCAAUCACAACCGGUUUCUUCUGGAGCUGCUAUUGCUGGAAACAUGCCUGGUGGUCAUGUAUCAAAUAGAUCUGUCCCUCGACCAAUGAAUGUUGGCAUGCAAAGAAUGCAUCAGCUGCAAGCAUAUAAUCUCACAUCGCAGGCAGGGAUGGGUAGUGGAAUUAAUCCUGCUGGCAUCCCAAUGCAACGAGGUGUUCCACAACAGGCCCAUCAACAGCAACAGGUUUAUUGUUUAUUGGGAAAAGAAGUAAAGUGUUACCUUUUUGUCCUUUUUUAUGGUGAAUUUGACGUGUUAUUGUUGUUUCCUUUUUGACAGUUGAGGAGGAAAGACCAAAUGGGAAUGCCAGGAUACCCUCCACAGCAGAAAUCAAGACGUAUGUAAGGUUGUGGUGGAUGAGAUCAAGUGAAGAUAGAAUUGGAGUCAACAGUUGGAAACCUGAGCUCAUUCAUGACAAUUCAUAGCCCCCUAUUUGAAUGAUUUGCCUUCAUUUUUGUGGACAAUGACAUCACUUUUUGCAAUCGCUACCAAAAUUUGUUGCAUUGGGCACAUGAAGCUGGAUGCUACAAUAUGAAUAUUCUGCUGGAACACCACUGAGCUUUUGAAGGGGAAUAAACAGGGGAAAUGGUUGCGCUACUGGUGGCACAUGUAUAUUAUACUUAUACUUAUAUCUGUACAAUUUUCCUGUACUGUUAUGCAGGGUGAAAUGUUAGGCAUCAUAGGUUUUCACCAAAAUUGAACCAACUGAUAAUGUGUAACUUUGUUGUACUUGCUGUAUAAUAUUACCUCAGCCAAUUAAAGGAAAUUAUAGGCUACUUUGCCCUGAGUAAAUUAUUUUUUCUAUUUUGA
Molecule: RNA transcript, 2052 nt
Organism: Trifolium pratense (red clover)
Lineage: Eukaryota; Viridiplantae; Streptophyta; Magnoliopsida; Fabales; Fabaceae
Gene name: cyclin-dependent kinase E-1
Exons: 15
Source: RefSeq, a predicted model, not a curated record